Long non-coding RNA from Brassica napus (rape), 5814 nucleotides. RefSeq lists it as uncharacterized. The transcript has 3 exons. Lineage: Eukaryota; Viridiplantae; Streptophyta; Magnoliopsida; Brassicales; Brassicaceae. The record is from RefSeq and is a predicted model, not a curated record.
CAUGAUCAUUUCAAACUAAAGUAUGCAUUUGUUAUAUUGUAGUUAAUAUAUUUUAAAUAUUAUAUAUGUCAAGUGAUUCACGUUUUUGUAAAAAAUAAAAUUCAAGUUCUUUAUUGGGCCGUACUCAUCCGUAAUAAUUUACAUUAAAUAUAUGAUGUAUUUUUAGGUUUAUUUAAUGAUAUUAAAUUUAAAUUUGACUAAGGAAAACUCAUUAAUUUAACUGGAAAAGAGAAACAUUAUAAUAGGUAGGUUCAUUUAAUGAUAUUAAGAUUAAAUUUGAUUAAGGAAAACUCAUUAAUUUAACUGGAAAAGACAAUCAUUAAAAUAUGUAGUUAAAUUAAAUUCUCAGUGCCAUGGAAGUGUAAAUAAAUUAGAAUACUUAGGGGUAUUUUUAAUGGGUACUUUUCUUUUAAUAAUAUAAAUAAGAAUAUUGUUUGGAAACAUAGAUAGUAGUAUAAUGAAAGGAAUAUUAGUGAUUCAAUGUAAGUUUAACUAUAAAGUUGAAAGGUGUAUUGAAUUUAAAAACUUACAAAAUAAAAGUUAGGUCCAAUAUAAUAUUUCUGUUUUUUGGUCAACUUCUGUCCAUCACAUGUAUGUGUGGAUCAUGUAGAAACACAUGACUUUUGGUUAAUUGUUAACCAAAGAUGUAAGGCUUUAACUGGUAACCAUUAAAAGAAUAAGAGAAAUAACAAGGAAAAGAAUGAAAUGAAAAAAUAAGAGGAAAAUCUAUUUCUUUUCUAAUUUUAUAAGGAAUAAUUGUAGUCUUUUAUUCUUUAAAAGUUAAAGAAUAUUAAGGAAUCAUAAGUAAUAAAUAUUCCUUGUAAAUGGUGUAAAUUGUAAGAAAUGGUAAGGAAUCAACUAUUCUCACUCAUUUCUUUGGUUACCAUUUAGAGAUGAGUUCCAUUUUGGGAUUGAGGUGAUGAUGGGAGAAUUGACGUGUUCAACAUUAGAUGAGUUCCAUUUUGGGAUUUUUUUCACAUAAAUGGAAAGGCUGUAAAAAUGCAUUAAUGUUUAAGUACAGAAUCCAUAGGCGACCUUUGAAUUUUCUUUUACUAAAGACCAUUUUCUUCACUGACAAAUCAACUAAUUAUGACUUAUGAGGUAAUCUUUAGUCAAAAAUCAUAUGAACAAUAUUAAUGUAGGACAAUGACUUCUCAACUAUAAAUACCUGAUGUAUAUCAAAUUGAUGACUAAACAAAGACAAAUACAGAUCAUUGUAAAGAACAGAAAACAAACUUGUUUACCAAGAUCAAAACGUGCUCAACAAUUCACUAAUCAAAGGUAUUAUGUUAAUUAUCUACUUGUAUGGCUCGAUUUUGUGAAUAAUCAUGAUUUAUAUUGCAAUAUAAUUUGUAAAAUUUUAUUUAAAAUUCUCUAUCUAUCAUGAUGUAAUCAUACUUAAAAAAACACAAACCUGUUUAUCAAUACCUUUUAAAAAACACAAACUUUAUAUACUCUUUUGAAUUUGAAUUAUUUAAAAAAAAACACAAACUUCAUUUUUAGAGUUUGAAAAAUUUAAAAAUAAUUUAAACAGCUCAUCUCCCGCAAAGAUCCGAACCAAACACGAAUAAAAAUUUAUAAAUACUUAAAUGAGAUUGAAAUCUUUAAUCUCAAAAACCCAAAACCUAAAUAGACCCGAACUGAAUAAUAAUGGGUACCGACCGCCCACCCCUAAUUUUGAAAUAGAAUACCAUGCUAACAACUAUUCUGGAUUUGGUGAUAUUUUUGUGUAAGGUGUAAUUCAAGACCAUUAUUUGGUAAAAGCUGAUGGAGAAUAACAAAAUUAGAGAUGCACAACCUAAAUUUCAAGGUAUAAGUUAAAAAAGGAACUCAAAUUUAACUUUUGAUUUAUUAGGAAUAUUUACUCAUAAAAAUAUUUUUUUAUUCAUUUAGGAACUGAUGGAACCAAUAGAUAUAUGUAUAAUCAGUUAUGGAAGUUAUGUGCUGGAUCUUUGUUUGAUCUUCCAAUAAUUGGAGAAGAAGUUUAUUAUUUUCCUCAAGGGCACAUAGAGCAGGCACAUGUUUUUCUAUGAAUAAUUUCACAUUAAUUCUCAUAUUUUGUUAUUCAAUAAACUUUUCUACAAUCUUAUGACAUUAUCAGCUUGUAGCAUCAGAAAAUGACAACCUGUGCCAAUUUAAACCAAUUUUUGAUAUUUCUUCAAAAAUUCGUUGUAAUGUUAUUAGCAUCAAGCUUAAGGUAUGUAUCUUUGGUAUUUGAUGUUUCUCUUUAGGAAAUACACAUGAGAUUAAUUGGCUUACAAUUGUACAUAUUAUGGUUUUGACAUGUUUUAUGCAUGAAUUUAGGUGGAUACCAAUACAGAUGAAGUUUAUGCAAAAGUUUCGUUGUCGCCAUUUUCACCUGUACGUGGAAAAUUUAAAAUUUUAUUUAAGAACUAAUAGUACCUCUUUUUAUAAUAUCUGUAAAUAAAUUUAUGAAUUUAAUUAUUAGGAAUUUGAAGUCUCUAUUCCUAAUGGCAACAACGAACAAAACAUUAACUAUUUUACCAAGGUGUUAACUGCUUCGGAUGCCAGCACACAUGGUGGUUUUUCUUUAUUUAAAAAAGAUGCCAUUGAAUGUCUUCCUCUAUUGGUAUUUUCAUUUAAUAAAUACACCAAAUAAAUCCAUAAUUGACUUAUAUUGUAAAUUUUUAUAUGAUCCUUUGUAUUAAACGUUUUUUUAGGAUAUGUCACAGCAAGCACCGAGUCAGUGGAUAGUUGCUAAAGAUCUCCAUGAUCAUGUUUGGAAAUUUAAACACACUUUUAGAGGUAGCUACGUUUUCUAUAUCAAAAUCGUUUGGUAGUAACUAAUAAUCUUUAUACACAACUAAUAAUCUUUAUUUAUGUAUAAAUUAUCAAUUAGGUACACCACAAAGACAUCUUUUCACAUCUGGUUGGAAACAGUUUGUAAGAAAAAAAAGUUUGGCCGUUGGAGACUCUGUUGUAUUCCUUAGGUAUAUACAUUUGUCAUUUUGCAUCUCUUUUGUUUCUUAAUUUUUUUUGUAUUUUAAAUUUUUUUUUGUUCUAGAGGGGAGAAUGGGGAAUCACAAAUCGGAAUCAGAAAAGCAGCGCCUCAACAAAGCAACAUAUCAUCAUCAGUAAUUUCAAAAGAGAGUAUGCAUUAUGGUUUAGUUGCUACUGCAUCGAAUGCUAUUAACUCCAAAUGUAUGUUCGACGUGUUUUAUAGGCCAAAGUAAGGAAAAUACUUUAUUACUCUACUUAAACAUCAUGAGAAUAUUUUAUUUUAAAAAGCAUAUUUUAAUUUAUUCUUGAUAUGAUGAUAUUAGGUCGAGCAAAUUCAUUGUCAACUGCAAAAAAGUUAUAGAUGCAGUGAACAUGAAGUUCAAUACAGGUUCAAGGUUUACUAUGAAGUUUGAAGGACGUGAUUUUAAUGAAAUAAUGUAAAUAUUUGACUCUCAUAUAAUUUUUUUUUCCAAAUAUGAUUACUUACAAAUUUUGUUUAUACUGCAAAGAUAUUCUGGGACAAUAGUAAAAGUGGAAGAUUUCUCCAUUUAUUGGAAGGAUUCAGAAUGGCGAAACCUACAAGUAAAACUUAUUCAUAACUAAUUUUUGUUAUAUUAUUUUAGACUAUGAUUUCAAAAUAAUAAUAAGUAAAAUCCACUAACUUAUUUUUAUAGGUUCAGUGGGAUGAAGCUGCAACAAUUUCAAGACCUAAUAAGGUCUCUCCAUGGGAAAUCGAGCCUUUAAUUCGAAAAAACAAACGCCAACGCGAAAUUAACGAAAUUGGUAAGAAAAUAGUUUUAAAUAAUUUAUGCUUCUUUGUGUAUCCAUUAUCAUCAUAUUUCUAUAUAUAAGUUCAAAUAUGAUAAUUCAUAUGUUGACUCAAAGCCAAUAAAUUGGAGAAUCAAGUAUAAAAUCUUCGACAAGUCUUCCUCAACUUAUUUAUCAGAAUGAAACUAAUGAUUCAAAAAUUUCAUCUGGUUGGCUAGUGAGCUAUGCAGGUCUUGCUAUGUCCAAACCAUAUUACAAUGACCAAAUGGUCCAGUCAACAAAAGAAAAUUCAACCACCAAUGCAUCUAGUAGCUUCAGAUUGUUUGGAGUUGAUCUAACGGCUUCUACCAAAGCAAGAGAUGUUUUGGAACCACUUGAAUCAUACCAAAAGAGUAAAAUUUCUGAAAUCUUUGAUGAAGAAAAGCUUGAUCAAAUUCAAGCAGUGACAUCACUAACAGAAAUCCAAACGAAGAAAAUAAGGUGUACUACAAGUAGUACCAAGGUAUGACUAAGAGCAUCUUCUACUUAUUCUUUACUUUUUAGUCAAUUCUAAAAUUAUUAAUUAUUAAUAACUAGAACAUGAUAAGACAUAGGCUUUGUAAAAUUAUUCAUGUUCUUUUUAAGAAAAGACUAGAUUUUAUAUAUGGUUGCACACAUAGUUUUAUUCUAAUACAGUAGAUUUGAUAUUGAUAAGAAACUUGAAUAACUUUUUAACCAGAUUGAGAUGACUAUAUUUAAUUCACAAACACUUGAUAUGUUUAUUGACCAGGUUCACAUGGAAGGUGUUGUUAGAACUGUUGAUUUAACUGAUUUUGAUGGAUACAAUCACAUGAUCCUUGAACUAGAAAAACUCUUUAAUAUCGAAGGCAAGUUGCAUAUGCACAGUCAAUGGAAACUAACCUUUAAAGUUCAUGAAGGAGAUAUGAUGCUUGUUGGAGACGAUUCAUGGCUGAAAUUUUGCAACACCGUGAAGGAAAUAUUCAUAUGUUCAAAAUAAGAUGCCAUAAAAUGAAAUUUGAGAACCAAUUCUCUAAAGGUGACUCAGCAUUUACAAAAAUAAUUUCACCGUCCGAUGUCGAGACAGUCAAAAAGGGGUUUUGUUACUUUUAAUGCGUUUUUAUAUAAUACUAGGGUUUGAUCUCUGUUCACCCAGAUAUUUUACUUUUAUUUAACAUUUGUGUUUAACUUGAAGAGUUUGGUUUUAUAUUAUGUGUGAUAUUUAUUAUUGUGAUUGCUCUUCUUUACUUUUAUCAACUCUUUUCAUUGAACUUAUUUGUUAUAAGGAGAUUAAGACUCAGUUUUGUUGUGUUUACUAAAUUGCCUUAUACAAUUACUGAGAUAGUUUGAAUGGGACUAUGUUCUGUUUUUAUUUUGGCGAUAGAACUUUUAAUCAUUUUCUUAUUUUAAAUCAUCUAGUUUCAUGUCUGCUCUUAUUUGUUUUUGGUAAGUUGUUUUAUAUUGCAUUCUUUCGAAUUGUGCAACUAUAUAUUUUUAUUUCCAUAUCAAUAUUGGAAUUAUGGUUGAGUUUUUAAAAAAAAAAUUAUGUAUGUUACCUUACAAUUUAUUUCUAUACAAUAACUGUUGAUCUCUUAUUUCUGUCAUGUAAACAAACUUUUAGUUUGUUUGUAGUACUAACAUAUGGUUAUUAACAUUUACCAACUAAGCUAAUGGAGAUUUUAGUCAAAAAUAGUUGAAAUAUUACAUAUUAUUUUCAAGGCUGGAAGCACAUGCUACCCCAGCUUCUAUCCAGGGCCGACACUGCUUACAUCGUGAUGAAAAUCUUGUGAACAAGAUCGAAGAUAUUUCUAAAUACAUGAACAUUUAAGUGGAAGAGUUGUGUAAGAGAGUUGACGUGCUCACCAGGCUUCACUAUGCCUCAUCAAAAUCAAUGCCAUAAGCUCUGUUCUUUUUUUUUUUUAAUUUAUGCUUUCUUGAGUUUAAAGUCUUUUGAUUUGUUAGCAUCAUCUUCUGAAUGGAUUUAGGUAUUGGCUUUUGUAAUAACUUGGCUAUGUUGUUUUGUUUCUUAAUCAAACCGACUCUGUUUUUAGUCCUUUACAUAGAGAAUCAUGAAGAUAUAAAACAUAA